GGCUCCCUGGCGCAAUGGUAGCGCGUUUGGCUUCGAUUGCCUACGGCACCAAAAGGUUGCAGGUUCGAGUCCUGCGGUGGUCA
Tephrocybe sp. NHM501043 is the source of this 83-nucleotide non-coding RNA. Lineage: Eukaryota; Fungi; Basidiomycota; Agaricomycetes; Agaricales; Lyophyllaceae. The record is from the annotation of a GenBank genome assembly.